GGAGUCUGGGUCGUAUCUCAGUCCCAAUGUGGCCGAUCACCCUCUCAGGCCGGCUACCGAUCGUCGCCUUGGUGGGCCGUUGCCCCGCCAACUAGCUAAUCGGACGCAAGCUCAUCCCAUGCCGAUAAAUCUUUCGUCAACCCCCUAUGCAGGGAGCCACUAUAUCCGGUAUUACCCGCGCGUUGGCACGGCUAUUCCCGGGCAUGGGGCAGAUUGCUUACGCGUUACUCACCCGUUCGCCGCUAUGCAUUGCUGCACCGCUCGACUUGCAUGUGUUAAGCCUGUAGCUAGCGUUCAUC
RNAcentral lists this ribosomal RNA (299 nucleotides) under Fibrobacter succinogenes. Its description in RNAcentral is "partial 16S ribosomal RNA". Lineage: Bacteria; Pseudomonadati; Fibrobacterota; Fibrobacteria; Fibrobacterales; Fibrobacteraceae. The record is from RNAcentral.